This is a long non-coding RNA of Homo sapiens (human), 3092 nucleotides long. The record is from Ensembl. Lineage: Eukaryota; Metazoa; Chordata; Mammalia; Primates; Hominidae.
AUGUGUUUUUGGUUUUACUAUCUAAUUUCCAUGUUAUUUUUGUGUAGGAUUCAAGGAGAUUCAAAACCCGUGUCACUGCUGCCAUCUUCCUAGAAUCCCUUUAAAUCCUCAUGGAUUUGCUGACAUUGGGAGCAUCCUGAAAGAGUCCCCAUGCUAGGGUGGCUGCAGUAACAGGUACAAUGAGAAAUGAUGGUGAGUCCCAUAAAUGCCCUCAAUUCGACUUCCUCUGAGUACAACCUGAUAGCAAAGAUGUGCAGGAGGGAAGUUAGAAUGGUCUCAAAUAACUGUGUUUAUAGUUUACUGUUGCAAAUUUCACAAAAACAUAUGACCACAUGAACACAUUCCAAGGGCCCCUCCUAAGACCUUGGAAAGGGCAGCUGUCCACCAUUUUGAUAAAGAUUAAGUAGAUCAGGGUGUAUCCAUAAGAUGUAAUGGUAUGCAGCCAUGGAAAAUAAUCUUUCUGAAUUUAAAAAUAAUCUUUUCAUAAUAAUGAAUGUGCAUUGUAGAAAAUUAGAAAAUAUAGGUAAUAAAGCAUAAAGAAAAUAAGAAAAUAACAAUAUUUCUGCCACCCAGAGGUUAUCACUAAAUGUCCUUCCACAUUUUGACAUACUUUGACAAUGUUGCAUGCAAAGUGAAAAAAAAGUCAGUUCAAGUUGCACCUACAAUGUGAUAUUGGGUUGUGAAAUUAUGUAUGUUUUGAAAAGUAUUAAAAUACAAUAGACCAAAAAUGUUGACAGGGCUUAUUUGUGGAUCAUAGGCUUAGCGGUGAUUGUUAUUUUCUUAUUUCCUAUAUUUUCCACCACAGGAAUGUAGACUUUUAUAAUCAUUAAAAAUGAAUUAUUUAAAAAAGUAAUUAUGGUGAUUUCAGAAGUGAGGUUUGGUUGUGAGUGUGUUUGAAAUCGGAUGAACAGCUUAUUUUGUGUCUGCUGAUUAUGUGUCUGCAUUAUGUUGUUUCAGGUUCUCCCCACUCCAGAAAAAAUCAAAUCAGAUUGUGAAUUUAUUCCCUGACAUUAACACACGGCAUUACAGGAGCAUGUACAUCACAUGGUCAAUUUAUUGGCAUGAGGAUUAUGUCAUCGGGGAAUAAAUGGGAAAUUCUCAAGGUGGCCCAGGCCUGUAGGCUUCCAGUGAGAAAACUGGAGACCACACUCACCCGUCCCACUGCCGUUUCUUUGGGGCUGCCUGUGAUACUGGGUUAUUCCCCUUGCCGAGUUCCACUGUGCUUACCCUGUUGGAAUAUGAUGGUGGACUUGCCAGAGGAGAUGACCAUGAUUUUCAGGAACAGCAGCCCCUCCUUCCUGGUUGAGGCAGCCAGCAGGCACUCCUAUCCAUGAGCCACAGCUCAGCUAAGGCAAUCCAGUCCAGCUGCAUGCCCUCUCUCUGCUUCUGGGGAGGUAGGAAGGACCAGGGGCAUUCAUGCUUGUUUCUAGGGGGCCCUAACUGGAUCUCUGGAUCAAGACCUACUCAGGGGAGAAAGACUACUCUGGGUUCCAUGUUAGGACUGACGGGUGCAUCUUAACUGAGAUGCAGACAGUGGACAAUUCGAACUCUGACCUGAGAGCAAGCCCCAGCCUUGGUGCUCAUAAAUGCUCCGCUUGGUCCUUCACAUUUGUGUUCCACACAGGAGAAGCCAAGUUGUGAGCAGUGCACCUUCACAAGCAAAGCCUCGACUGAAAUCUUCUCUAACAAUUGGCUGGUCACUCCUGAGCGUAAUCUACCCCUUCAGAACACUGGGGAUGAAUUUAGAGACAUCGAAGCCUCCUGAUGAGAAAUACGUGUCCACUCACCGGGAGAACUGAAAUACCAGGAGAUUUCUACACAAAUCUCACAGAGUCCUUCUGGCGUCCUAGGGGUUUGCUCACAUAUAAGGGACUUUCUGGUAGGAAGAGAGUCUCUUUACAUUCUUUAUUAUAUGAUCCUGGUGGCUUUGUAGAGAGAUGGUACAGCUGACAGAUCAUGUCCUGUGGGGCCAGGGAGUUGUGUGUGUGUGAAUGCUCUGUGAACUUGGGCAAACUACUUAGCCUCUCUGAGCCUUAGCUGCAUCAGCUUUGAAAAACAGGAUGAUAAAAUGGAGUCACCUUAUUUGACUUUUAUAAAUACACUUACACAAUUACACAAGUUGUGGGGAUGGGAAGAGAGAGUUGGGGAAAGAGAAAUGAGAGAGAGAGAGAGAGAGAAUGAAUGAUAAACAAUUUAAACAACAGUGGGGUGUAGACCAACGCCCAGCCUGGCAAGGGUGAGCCCAGAGAGCCUUCCCUCCUGGCUAUUGGCAGCCUCCGCAUGGAAGCCUGUCGUUGACUUCUUAAUGAUGAGAGAUGUUCUGGGGGCACUCCAGGAUUCUUGGACAUGGGAUCGUCUUCACAGCUGUGUCUAUUGAAAGCUGAAGUUUCAGUCUCCCCUGCCCCCUGCCCCCUGGAGUGGCUUCCCAGGGGAAAUUCAAGGGCACCUGUGACUGCAUGGCUGCUUUCCUUUCCUUUACUCAAUGCCGUCCUUUGGUGACAGCCGUGUCUCAUGCCAGGAUACAUGAGGUGCUCUAUAGUAGUAUGUUUUCCCUCCUGGGAGGUAAUUUUAUUUAAAUGUGAAGUCAAAAGGAUCACUAAAUAGAACCAUGAGGCAACCACUCUGGGCACCUGCCUGGUGAUAUCCACAAGAGCUGACCACAGGUGCCCCCUGUGCCCAGCAAGUCCUUGGCUGGGCAGUCACACAACAGGCAUGGGGAUGUGUGGCCACCAAGCCCUCCAGGGCAGUGCUAUUUGUAAUAGUCCCAAAUGGGAGAGAUGGCAAACGCCCGCCAAUGGGGCAGCAUGGAUAAAUGGAUGCUGCACAGCAACGGCGAUGAGUGAGCCCCAGCACCCGUGAGCUCACCAGUGUAAUAUUGGGUGGAAGAAGCCAGGAGGAAGGGCAUUCACAUUCUGUGAUUCCAGCUACACUAUGUUUAAAUAUGGGCAGAGCUAGGCUGUGGUGCUGGAAGCCAGGACAGUGGGAUCCUUGCAUGGGGGUGAUGGUGCUGGUAGGUUCUGGUAAUUUCCUCUUCUUGAUCUGGGUGUAAACAUUUUGUGAAAAUUCAAUGAGCUGUACAUUUAUGACUGGUA